ACGGGUAAAGAUCGCGUCGGUUCCCCGAAAGGGGAUUAAAAUGGGAAUGCGGUGCGGGUGGUUCUCCAUCCAAAUCCGCAGCUGUCCCUGCAACUGUAAGUGGCGAGCGCGAUAUACAUGUGCGGACGGCAUAGCGCCGAGCCGCCAGCCACUGGGCCGGACGCUGUAACAUGCGAGGCCUGGGAAGGCCGUAUAUCAAGCGAUGACCCAUGAGCCAGGAGACCUGCCGGUGUCUGGUCGCUCUU
RNAcentral lists this non-coding RNA (245 nucleotides) under Novosphingobium sp. The record is from RNAcentral. Lineage: Bacteria; Pseudomonadati; Pseudomonadota; Alphaproteobacteria; Sphingomonadales; Sphingomonadaceae.